CUGUAUAACAUUUUCAGUGGGAUUUUCUCUUGGUGCAGUUCUAACCCUAUGAUGAAAAAUAUCUUUUCUUAAAGUGUAUAAUUACCCUCCGUCACUCUUAAAUCUCCUCUGGUGUCUAAUGGUGAACAGAUGAGCUGAAAUUAAAAAUAAAGGCCUUCUACCAAUUUAGCACCCUGCACAUAAUGUACCUAUAAUGAUAGUUUGAUUGCCAGUGCCCAUUAUUUUGUUGCUGCCUUUUUUUCUAUUACUGCACCAGAGCCCUGGGUUUCAAAAAGAAUGCAGCAUCCUGUUUGAUAAAACCAGAGCAAUUUACAUGAACACCAGUUUUAGCCUGUAUUAGAAAGAUGCACAGAAUAAAGUGGAAAACAUAAUGUAACGCCACGUGGACCAUUUAAUGUCAGUGGCACUCUUCACUUAAAUAUCAUAUUACAUUUUCCUGCACCUCUCAUAUAAGCAGCCGGUAAUGGAGUGUCCCAAGGAGGUGUUGGAGCUCAACCUUCUAAAGCCAGAUCCAACAACUACCCAUUUGAAUAGUUGGCCGCUGGCUCAGAGCCAGUCUCUUGUAUUAUAUGUAGUAAUAGUUUUUUUUUUAUUGACAAAGUAUUCCAUUAUGUAAAUACCAAAUUUAUUUAUCCAUUCUACUGUCGACAUUUCGCCUCCGCGCGGCCUUUCCUCGGAGCCAGGCUGGGGAACCCGGUGAGGCACGCAGACCAGUCCCUUCGAGACGCCCGCCUCGCGGAAUCGGGUUCACCGGCCCUGUCCCGCACGGUCCCCUGGGUCAUCUCCCCCUGCAACCACUUGUCUGAAACUUACCAGAUUCCAACCUUAAGGCAGGAAAAAAAGUGUUUCAUAUACAAACUGAUCAGGGUAUUUGCAGAUAAUUGCGAAUGUCAAAUACUCGGGCGUGAUGACAAAGUGCAGAGAUUGCCAGGGCCAGAGCUUGG
Molecule: long non-coding RNA, 944 nt
Filed under: Homo sapiens (human)
Lineage: Eukaryota; Metazoa; Chordata; Mammalia; Primates; Hominidae
Description: non-protein coding lnc-SATB2-3:1
Source: RNAcentral